Molecule: ribosomal RNA, 497 nt
Filed under: uncultured bacterium
Lineage: Bacteria
Description: partial 16S ribosomal RNA
Rfam family: Bacterial small subunit ribosomal RNA
Source: RNAcentral
GAUGAACGCUGGCGGCGUGCCUAAUACAUGCAAGUCGAGCGAACGGACGAGAAGCUUGCUUCUCUGAUGUUAGCGGCGGACGGGUGAGUAACACGUGGAUAACCUACCUAUAAGACUGGGAUAACUUCGGGAAACCGGAGCUAAUACCGGAUGAUAUUUUGAACCGCAUGGUUCAAAAGUGAAAGACGGUCUUGCUGUCACUUAUAGAUGGAUCCGCUCUGCAUUAGCUAGUUGGUAAGGUAACGGCUUACCAAGGCAACGAUGCAUAGCCGACCUGAGAGGGUGAUCGGCCACACUGGAACUGAGACACGGUCCAGACUCCUACGGGAGGCAGCAGUAGGGAAUCUUCCGCAAUGGGCGAAAGCCUGACGGAGCAACGCCGCGUGAGUGAUGAAGGUCUUCGGAUCGUAAAACUCUGUUAUUAGGGAAGAACAUAUGUGUAAGUAACUGUGCACAUCUUGACGGUACCUAAUCAGAAAGCCACGGCUAACUACGUG